Molecule: ribosomal RNA, 440 nt
Filed under: uncultured bacterium
Lineage: Bacteria
Description: partial 16S ribosomal RNA
Rfam family: Bacterial small subunit ribosomal RNA
Source: RNAcentral
CCUACGGGCGACUGCAGUGGGGAAUAUUGCACAAUGGGGGAAACCCUGAUGCAGCGACGCAGCGUGAGCGAAGAAGGAUUUCGGUGUGGAAAGCUCUAUCAGCAGGGAAGAAAAUGACUGUACCUGAGGAAGAAGCUCCGGCUAAAUACGUGCCCGCAGCCGCGGUAAUACGUAAGGAGCAAGCGUUAUCCGGAUGUACUGGGUGUAAAGGGAGCGCAGGCGGCCUUGCAAGUCUGAUGUGAAAUACCGGGGCUCAACCCCGGAGCUGCAUUGGAAACUGUGAGGCUGGAGUGUAGGAGAGGCAGGCGGAAUUCCUAGUGUAGCGGUGAAAUGCGUAGAUAUCAGGAGGAACACCAGUGGCGAAGGCGGCCCGCUGGACGAUGACUGACGCUGAGGCUCGAAAGCGUGGGGAGCAAACAGGAUUAGAUACCCUUGUAGUC